GACUUGCUCAUGGAGCCGAAAUCAGUCGAAGAUACCAGCUGGCUGCAACUGUUUAUUAAAAACACAGCACUGUGCAAACACGAAAGUGGACGUAUACGGUGUGACGCCUGCCCGGUGCCGGAAGGUUAAUUGAUGGGGUUAUCCGUAAGGAGAAGCUCUUGAUCGAAGCCCCGGUAAACGGCGGCCGUAACUAUAACGGUCCUAAGGUAGCGAAAUUCCUUGUCGGGUAAGUUCCGACCUGCACGAAUGGCGUAAUGAUGGCCAGGCUGUCUCCACCCGAGACUCAGUGAAAUUGAACUCGCUGUGAAGAUGCAGUGUACCCGCGGCAAGACGGAAAGACCCCGUGAACCUUUACUAUAGCUUGACACUGAACAUUGAGCCUUGAUGUGUAGGAUAGGUGGGAGGCUUUGAAGUGUGGACGCCAGUCUGCAUGGAGCCAACCUUGAAAUACCACCCUUUAAUGUUUGAUGUUCUAACGUAGACCCGUGAUCCGGGUUGCGGACAGUGUCUGGUGGGUAGUUUGACUGGGGCGGUCUCCUCCCAAAGAGUAACGGAGGAGCACGAAGGUUAGCUAAUCCUGGUCGGACAUCAGGAGGUUAGUGCAAUGGCAUAAGCUAGCUUGACUGCGAGCGUGACGGCGCGAGCAGGUGCGAAAGCAGGUCAUAGUGAUCCGGUGGUUCUGAAUGGAAGGGCCAUCGCUCAACGGAUAAAAGGUACUCCGGGGAUAACAGGCUGAUACCGCCCAAGAGUUCAUAUCGACGGCGGUGUUUGGCACCUCGAUGUCGGCUCAUCACAUCCUGGGGCUGAAGUAGGUCCCAAGGGUAUGGCUGUUCGCCAUUUAAAGUGGUACGCGAGCUGGGUUUAGAACGUCGUGAGACAGUUCGGUCCCUAUCUGCCGUGGGCGCUGGAGAAUUGAGGGGGGCUGCUCCUAGUACGAGAGGACCGGAGUGGACGCAUCACUGGUGUUCGGGUUGUCAUGCCAAUGGCAUUGCCCGGUAGCUAAAUGCGGAAAAGAUAAGUGCUGAAAGCAUCUAAGCACGAAACUUGCCCCGAGAUGAGUUCUCCCUGACUCCUUGAGAGUCCUGAAGGAACGUUGAAGACGACGACGUUGAUAGGUCGGGUGUGUAAGCGUAGCGAUACGUUGAGCUAACCGAUACUAAUGAACCGUGAGGCUUAACCUU
This 1181-nucleotide ribosomal RNA is filed under the name Klebsiella oxytoca. Its description in RNAcentral is "bacterial LSU rRNA". It matches the Rfam family "Bacterial large subunit ribosomal RNA", at positions 1753 to 2925 of the family's 2925-position model. The record is from RNAcentral. Lineage: Bacteria; Pseudomonadati; Pseudomonadota; Gammaproteobacteria; Enterobacterales; Enterobacteriaceae.